UACGGGGGGGGCAAGCGUUGUUCGGAAUUACUGGGCGUAAAGGGCUCGUAGGCGGCCAACUAAGUCAGACGUGAAAUCCCUCGGCUUAACCGGGGAACUGCGUCUGAUACUGGAUGGCUGGAGUUUGGGAGAGGGAUGCGGAAUUCCAGGUGUAGCGGUGAAAUGCGUAGAUAUCUGGAGGAACACCGGUGGCGAAGGCGGCAUCCUGGACCAACACUGACACUGAAAAGCGAAAGCCAGGGGAGCAAACGGG
Molecule: ribosomal RNA, 253 nt
Filed under: uncultured bacterium
Lineage: Bacteria
Description: partial 16S ribosomal RNA
Rfam family: Bacterial small subunit ribosomal RNA
Source: RNAcentral